AACGAACGCUGGCGGCACGCCUAACACAUGCAAGUCGAACGAAGCCUUCGGGCUUAGUGGCGCACGGGUGCGUAACGCGUGGGAAUCUGCCCUUGGGUUCGGAAUAACAGUUAGAAAUGACUGCUAAUACCGGAUGGUGUCUUCGGACCAAAGAUUUAUCGCCCAAGGAUGAGCCCGCGUAGGAUUAGGUAGUCGGUGGGGUAAUGGCCCACCAAGCCGACGAUCCUUAGCUGGUCUGAGAGGGUGAUCAGCCACACUGGGACUGAGACACGGCCCAGACUCCUACGGGAGGCAGCAGUGGGGAAUAUUGGACAAUGGGCGAAAGCCUGAUCCAGCAAUGCCGCGUGAGUGAUGAAGGCCUUCGGGUUGUAAAGCUCUUUUACCAGGGAUGAUAGUGACAGUACCUGGAGAAUAAGCUCCGGCUAACUCCGUGCCAGCCGCCGCAGUAA
Molecule: ribosomal RNA, 449 nt
Filed under: uncultured bacterium
Lineage: Bacteria
Description: partial 16S ribosomal RNA
Rfam family: Bacterial small subunit ribosomal RNA
Source: RNAcentral